Podarcis lilfordi (Lilford's wall lizard) is the source of this 66-nucleotide non-coding RNA. The record is from the annotation of a GenBank genome assembly. NCBI's taxonomy places the organism in Eukaryota, Metazoa, Chordata, Lepidosauria, Squamata, Lacertidae.
GCAGCUCAGUGGUAGAGAACCUGCUUUGAAUGCAGAAGGUUCCAGGUUCAAUCCCUGGCAUCAUCA